Molecule: ribosomal RNA, 498 nt
Filed under: uncultured soil bacterium
Lineage: Bacteria
Description: bacterial SSU rRNA
Rfam family: Bacterial small subunit ribosomal RNA
Source: RNAcentral
AGAUUGAACGCUGGCGGCGUGCUUAACACAUGCAAGUCGAGCGGUAACAGGCGUAGCAAUACGUGCUGACGAGCGGCGAACGGGUGAGUAAUGCUUUGGAAUCUACCUUUUAGUGGGGAAUAACCUGGGGAAACUCAGGCUAAUACCGCAUACGACCUACGGGUGAAAGCGGGGGAUCGCAAGACCUCGCGCUAAGAGGUGAGCCAAAGUCGGAUUAGCUAGUUGGUGAGGUAAAGGCUCACCAAGGCGACGAUCCGUAGCUGGUCUGAGAGGACGACCAGCCACACUGGAACUGAGACACGGUCCAGACUCCUACGGGAGGCAGCAGUGGGGAAUAGUUGGACAAGUGGGGGCAACCCUGAUCCAGCGACGCCGCGUGUGUGAAGAAGGCCUGGCGGGUUGUAAAGCUACGUUUUAGUAGGGAACAAAAAACGUACGAACUAAUAUUCUGUGGUCUUAGAUUUAAACCCAAAGAAAACGCAACCGGCUAACGUCUGU